Molecule: RNA transcript, 4690 nt
Organism: Macadamia integrifolia
Lineage: Eukaryota; Viridiplantae; Streptophyta; Magnoliopsida; Proteales; Proteaceae
Gene name: mediator of RNA polymerase II transcription subunit 16
Exons: 17
Source: RefSeq, a predicted model, not a curated record
CUCUUCUUUUCUCCCAAGAGCCACCAGCCUACUCACCAAACCAUUACCAUAUUCCAACGAAGCUUCAAGUGCUCUAUGCUUGUCACUACUCCUCCUCCCCUGCGCUGACGUCCUCCUCUUUAGUGUUUUCCCUUUGCUUUUUUGAAAAAAAGUCUCCCUUUAAAUAAGCAGCCAAUUGGAUUCAAAGCGAAACCCAGAAGCUCCAAAAAACUACGUUGACACUUUGAAAACCCAAAAAUUCUUAUUGGAAUUAAGAAUCCCCCAACACAAGGAAUCUUACUCUUGUCUCCAACUCUACCCAACACGCAAACCCUAAAAAGUUCAAUCUCAAAACUACAAAUCUUCUUACUAACCCCACCAGUCCACCACCGGUUUCUUCUGUCUGUCUCUCUCUCUCUCUCUCUCUCUCUCUCUCUCUCCACUGUGUGAUACCUGUCGCAUUCAAUUACGACUUUCCAACACCUCUCGCUUUCUCUUUCUCUCUCUUACCUACAAAGUAUUAAUUAGGGUUUUCUUCUGUUGAAAUGAAUACUGGUUCUGGUGUAAAAGAUUCUGAAGACGGGUCCACUGACACCGGUCUUGAGGUAACUAGGGUUUCUGAAAGAGUAGAAGCUGCCGACGUUGAAGUUGAGGUUGCAGACAAGAAGGAAGAUCACAUGGAGGAAGAAUCCACAACUCCGGCGACUGUGUUUCGAAUAAGACUUAAACAGCCUCGCUCGAAUUUAAGGCACAAGAUGAGUGUCCCGGAGCUCUGUCGGAAGUUCAGCUCUGUUGCCUGGUGUGGGAAACUGAAUGCUAUAGCGUGUGCGUCAGAGACUUGUGCAAGAAUUCCAAGUUCCAAUGCAAAUCCACCAUUUUGGAUCCCCAUACAUAUUGUGAAUCCAGAACGACCAACUGAAUGUGCAGUGUUCAAUGUCAUAGCAGAUUCUCCGCGUGACUCAGUUCAGUUUAUCGAGUGGUCUCCCAUUUCUUGUCCUCGUGCUUUACUGAUAGCUAAUUUUUAUGGGAGGAUAACUAUCUGGACUCAGCCUUCUCAAGGGCCUGCCAAUUUAGUGAGAGAUGCUAGUUGCUGGCAAUGUGAAUAUCAGUGGCAUCAGGAUAUUGCAGUUAUUACAAAAUGGUUAUCAGGGACGUCUUUGUAUAGGUGGUUUUCCUCGAAUUCUAGUGGUACUGGGAACUCAAAAACAGCUUUUGAGGAAAAGUUUCUUCCUCAGCAGCCUCAAGCUUCAGCUAGGUGGCCAAAUUUUCUUUGUGUUUGCUCUGUUUUCUCAUCGGGCUCUGUCCAGCUUCACUGGUCGCAAUGGCCCCCCUCACAGAGUGGCGAACAGUCGAAGUGGUUUUCUACAAGCAAAGGACUAUUGGGAGCUGGGCCUAGUGGUAUAAUGGCUGCCGAUGCCAUCAUAACUGAAGCAGGCACAAUGCAUGUAGCUGGUGUUCCAAUUGUAAACCCAUCUACUGUAGUUGUUUGGGAAGUUACACCUGGUCCUGGCAAUGGUUUUCAGGCGUCUGCAAAGACUAGUACCAGUAAUGUUGUCCCACCUUCAUUAAACCCUCCUUGCUGGGCUGGUUUUGCCCCUCUGGCUGCAUAUUUAUUCAGUUGGCAAGAGUAUUUGGCAUCUGAAGGGAAGCGAGGAAAUAAACAGACGGAUCAAGAGUCAAGUGAGACAUUGUCACUCCAUUGUUCACCAGUGUCAAAUUUUUCUGCAUAUGUAAGCCCUGAAGCAGCAGCUCAAUCAACAGCCACCACCACAUGGGGUUCUGGAGUUACUGCAGUUGCAUUUGAUCCAUCCCGGGGAGGGUCUGUUAUAGUUGUUGUAAUCGUUGAAGGGCAGUACAUGUCACCUUAUGAUCCUGAUGAGGGUCCAUCAAUCACAGGAUGGAGAGUGCAAUGUUGGGAAUCAUCUCUUCAACCUGUUGUCCUCCAUCCUAUAUUUGGGAACCCCACAUCUAGUUUUGGAGGGCAGGCACCGAUGCAGACAGUUUGGUUGACUAGGGUAAACAAAAGCAUUCCUCCAACGAGUGACUUCAAAAUUUCACUAGCAGCUGCUGCGGCAGGACCGAUAUCUGAUCGGCGUAAUGCAUCAGAUUCAAGUACUGAGAAGGCAAACAGAGUCAGUUUUGACCCCUUCAAUCUUCCAAGCGAUGUUAGAACUCUGGCUCGUAUUGUUUAUUCUCCUCAUGGUGGUGAGGUUGCUGUUGCUUUUCUUCGGGGUGGGGUCCACAUAUUUUCUGGUGCAACUUUUGCACAAGCUGAUAGCUUCAUUGUUAAUGUUGGUUCGGCCAUUCCUGCACCUGCUUUCUCUUCAACUAGCUGCUGCUUGGCUUCUGUUUGGCAUGAAAACAACAAGGAUCACACUAUAUUGAAGAUUAUGCGUGUUCUUCAUCCUGCAAUUUCUGGAAGUCAGGUGAAAGUAAAAGCAACAUGGGAACGUGCUAUUGCAGACAGGUUUUGGUGGAGUCUUUUGGUUGGAGUUGAUUGGUGGGAUGCUGUCGGCUGUACACAAAGUGCUGCAGAGGAUAGCAUUGUGUCACUGAACAGUGUGAUUGCAGUGUUGGAUGCGGAUUUCCAUUCUCUCCCCACUGCUCAGCAUAGGCAACAGCAUGGUCCUUCUCUAGAUAGGAUAAAGUGCAGGCUACUGGAAGGUACAAAUGCUCAAGAGGUUAGGGCAUUAGUGCUGGAUAUGCAAGCGAGGUUGUUGCUGGAUAUGCUGGGUAAAGGAAUUGAAUCAGCUCUUAUAAAUCCUGCAACUCUAGUAAAUGAACCUUGGCAGGCGUCUGGUUGGACACUCCAAGGGAUUGACGCUGAUGCAAUGACUGUUGAACCAGCACUAGUUUCAAGUAUCCAGGCAUAUGUUGAUGCUGUACUAGAUCUUGCUUCACACUUCAUCACACGUUUACGGCGUUAUGCAAGCUUUUGUCGUACGUUGGCAAGUCAUGCUGUAGGAGCAUCUGCUGGCACAGGCAGUAACCGGAGUAUGGUUGCUAGCCCAACACAUAAUUCAGCGUCUCCAUCAACAAGUCAGGGUGGUCAAAGUGGAACAGCAAAUUCCACUGGCAGCUCCCAGAUGCAAGCUUGGGUGCAAGGCGCUAUUGCUAAAAUUAGUGGCACUGCUGAUGGAGUUUCCUAUUCAACACCAAAUCCUAUUAGUGGUCCACCUCCAUUUACACCAAUUAGUAUUAAUACAGGGACCUUUCCAGGGACACCUGCUGUCAGGCUAAUUGGAGACUGCCAUUUUCUACAUAGAUUAUGCCAGCUUUUGCUUUUCUGUUUUUUCUUUCGGCGUAGACAGCCCCGCUAUAGUGGUGCUGCACAGAGAAACCCGGACUCUAAUUCACAGAAACCCCAGCCUACUGCUCCUGGGGAAGUGGAGGAGAUGAACUCUGUUUCGGCAAGACCAGCGUCGAGUGGACAGAUUGCUACUGGAGCAAAAGAAAGAACAGGUUCUGGAAAUGCUGGUCAGGGAUACACAUUUGAGGAGGUAAAAGUCCUUUUCCUCAUACUGAUGGAUCUCUGUCGGCGAACAGCAGGUUUGGCGCACCCACUGCCAGUUUCUCAGGUUGGGGGUGGCAAUAUCCAAAUCCGCUUGCAUUAUAUUGAUGGGAACUACACCGUCUUACCAGAAGUUGUAGAAGCAUCCCUUGGUCCACAUAUGCAGAAUAUGCCGCGUCCUCGAGGUGCGGAUGCUGCUGGUUUGUUGCUUCGUGAGUUAGAACUACACCCUCCAGCUGAAGAAUGGCAUAGACGUAAUAUGUUUGGUGGUCCAUGGUCUGAUCCUGAGGAUUUGGGUGCUGUGGAUGACACUUGCAAACUGAGCAAUUCUUCUGAUCUGUUUGAGUUUAGUUCAUCCGAAGAUUGUGAGAGUUAUUAUGAAGCCCAUGGCCUCUGGCCUAGGAAGCGCAGACUGUCGGAAAGAGAUGCAGCUUUUGGCUUGAAAACUUCUGUGGGACUAGGAACAUAUCUUGGAAUUAUGGGAUCACGAAGAGAUGUUGUCACAGCCGUAUGGAAAGCCGGUCUUGAAGGGGUUUGGUACAAGUGCAUAAGAUGUUUGCGGCAAACUUCAGCAUUUGCUUCACCUGGAAAUAGCAACUCUCCUAACCAGAAUGAUCGGGAGGCAUGGUGGAUAAGCCGCUGGUCGUAUGGUUGCCCGAUGUGUGGUGGAACAUGGGUUCGAGUUGUAUAGAUAACUACAUGCACUGAUUAAGCCACAGGGUGAAUAUUUAGAACUUUUUCAACUUUUCUUCUGAGUGGAAGGCCCAACUCUUACCAUGAUCAAUUCUCCAUCAAAUAUUUCAUGAGACUUGGCCUGAGGAUGGUUCUUACAGGUUACCUUCUGGAUGGUUGCCGAUCCAAGUUACUUCAAAAUCCUGGGCAUUAUCAUGAUGGAACAAUGCAUUCGCCACAUGGGGAGAUCAAAUGCAAGAAUUGUUGGAUCAGAAAUGUUUCACAAUGUUUGAGAUCGAAGUCUGAACAUGAGCCCAGCUUGCAUUUGCUCAUUAGAUUGGUGUUUGUUGUUGCCUGCCUGAUCCUCACAAGGCUUUCUUUUUAAGCUGUUGCCACUCCAUGUACAUAGUUGUCAAGGCAUCACCUAAGCGUCUAAACUCUUUCUUAUGAUCAAGGUGAUAACAUGACAUGUUGUAUAAUUCAUCAUUGUAAAUAUUGCUAUCCAACAAGCAUGAAAGUUUUGAACUA